This 253-nucleotide ribosomal RNA is filed under the name uncultured bacterium. Its description in RNAcentral is "partial 16S ribosomal RNA". It matches the Rfam family "Bacterial small subunit ribosomal RNA", at positions 524 to 776 of the family's 1533-position model. The record is from RNAcentral.
UACAGAGGGUGCAAGCGUUAAUCGGAGUUACUGGGCGUAAAGGGCGCGUAGGCGGUCCUGCAAGUGAGAUGUGAAAUCCCCGGGCUUAACCUGGGAACUGCAUCUUAAACUGCGGGGCUGGAGUACUGUAGAGGAUAGUGGAAUUUCCGGUGUAGCGGUGAAAUGCGUAGAUAUUGGGAGGAACACCGGUGGCGAAGGCAGCCCCCUGGGGUAACACUGACGCUCAUGCACGAAAGCGUGGGGAGCAAACAGG